AAGUAUGAAGUAAUUAUUACAUUUAGUUUCGACCUAAUUUUAGAUUAUCCAAUAAUCCUUACUUU
This 65-nucleotide transfer RNA is filed under the name Thaumatosmylus hainanus. Its description in RNAcentral is "tRNA-Arg". The record is from RNAcentral. Lineage: Eukaryota; Metazoa; Arthropoda; Insecta; Neuroptera; Osmylidae.